ACCAUCAAGCCACGCGGUAGUAUCAGGAUUACUUGAAUUAUAAGUAUGAUUCUUGGCCAAGUCAAGUCAGUUGUAUAUCGAUCUGUCGAUCUGUGUUAAUCUUUAGCUCAUCAGUUCACCAAUCUAACCUGAUUUAAGUUGAUCCUUGAUGAAACAUGAUACUCAGCUUAGCUUUUUAUCGAUCUGCAUUAAGGCACAUUGGGG
Molecule: long non-coding RNA, 204 nt
Filed under: Elaeis guineensis (African oil palm)
Lineage: Eukaryota; Viridiplantae; Streptophyta; Magnoliopsida; Arecales; Arecaceae
Description: long non-coding RNA (EGUI_LNC039439)
Source: RNAcentral